Non-coding RNA from Vollenhovia emeryi, 72 nucleotides. The record is from the annotation of a RefSeq genome assembly. NCBI's taxonomy places the organism in Eukaryota, Metazoa, Arthropoda, Insecta, Hymenoptera, Formicidae.
GGUUAUGUAGCUCAGUGGUUGAGCACCCGACUCAUAAUCGGAAGGACGUUGGUUCAAAUCCAGCCAUAACCA